Molecule: small RNA, 147 nt
Filed under: human gut metagenome
Description: M-box riboswitch (ykoK leader)
Rfam family: M-box riboswitch aptamer (ykoK leader)
About the family: M-box riboswitch, also know as ykoK leader is described as a metaloregulatory RNA that sense divalent metals and function as a genetic control element of genes related to divalent metal transport in bacteria. It was first reported upstream of the B.subtilis ykoK gene and genes with related functions in other bacteria.
Source: RNAcentral
UAUAUCCGGUAGGUAAGGUUACCACAGGGAUACGGAUUGCUGCCGCUAUACAAUGGAGACACUGUAAUGAUGGUCAGCAAGGUAUGUCGAAACCAAGGCAUAACUUAACGCAAUUUCAUCGCCCUGUGAUGCUAAAGCUUGAAUGGU